This 253-nucleotide ribosomal RNA is filed under the name uncultured bacterium. RNAcentral's name for it is "partial 16S ribosomal RNA". It matches the Rfam family "Bacterial small subunit ribosomal RNA", at positions 524 to 776 of the family's 1533-position model. The record is from RNAcentral.
UACGGAGGGUGCAAGCGUUAUCCGGAUUCACUGGGUUUAAAGGGUGCGUAGGUGGCUUUAUAAGUCAGUGGUGAAAGCUUGGAGCUCAACUCCGAAACUGCCAUUGAUACUGUUUAGCUUGAAUUAGGUCGAAGUGGAUGGAAUGCGACAUGUAGCGGUGAAAUGCUUAGAUAUGUUGCAGAACACCGAUUGCGAAGGCAGUUCACUAGCCCUAAAUUGACACUGAGGCACGAAAGCGUGGGGAUCAAACAGG